CUCAUUAAAGGCACGUGUGUGAAAUUAGUCAAAAGGGAAGCUGCUGAGGAGGACACAGUCUCCAACCGCCGUGUUUUUGGUCACAUCUCAGCAUUAUUGUUUGAUAAAUCCGUUUUUAUUUUUGUUCCAGUGAUUUCAACUUUGUUUUUGAAAAGACUUGUUUUAUUUUGGGGUGUUCUGAUUUAAUUUGAACGCGACAAAUCAGCUCAGCAUCACACAGCAACUCCCUGAACAUCCUGCAACCGGUCGACACCCGAAGAUCAUCUAACAAAAACAGGCGGAACAUGAGCAAAGGGCGCUAACGGGUGCAGGAUAUUAUUAUCAUAGGCGGUGUUGGCGCUCUAGGCGACCGCCUAUAUCGCCUAUGCCAAGAGCCGGCCCUGCCCUCAGACAUGAGGAGUGGAUACAGAGUGUAUGGAAGAAAAAUGUCAUGCGGUUCAGAUGUCAGGCACACCUUGUUGUGGUAUCCUCUCUGCUGGAUGAACUUGUCGACUAUUUUCUGGGCCUGUCGGUCACACUCCUGCUGCAGGAACUGACCAUGUAACGUGGACUUGCAGAGUGGGAACAUUUUACUAAUACACAAAGCAGACAAACAGGACCAAAAACACAACUGACCUGAGUGCAGAGAUACUGGCCGAAGCGUG
Plectropomus leopardus (leopard coralgrouper) is the source of this 644-nucleotide non-coding RNA. NCBI's taxonomy places the organism in Eukaryota, Metazoa, Chordata, Actinopteri, Perciformes, Serranidae. The record is from RefSeq and is a predicted model, not a curated record.